Molecule: microRNA precursor, 101 nt
Filed under: Leersia perrieri
Lineage: Eukaryota; Viridiplantae; Streptophyta; Magnoliopsida; Poales; Poaceae
Description: MIR2275 microRNA precursor family
Rfam family: MIR2275 microRNA precursor family
Source: Rfam by way of RNAcentral
GCACUGAAAGUGAGAGUUGGAUGAAAACAAACUGACUGAUCAUGACAACUCCAGCAGAUCAUUGAUCGGCUUGUUUUCCUCCAAUAUCUCACCUUCAGUAG